This 77-nucleotide transfer RNA is filed under the name Gammaproteobacteria bacterium. RNAcentral's name for it is "tRNA-Ile". It matches the Rfam family "tRNA". From Rfam's summary of the family: Transfer RNA (tRNA) molecules are approximately 80 nucleotides in length. Their secondary structure includes four short double-helical elements and three loops (D, anti-codon, and T loops). Lineage: Bacteria; Pseudomonadati; Pseudomonadota; Gammaproteobacteria. The record is from RNAcentral.
GGGUCUGUAGCUCAGCUUGGUUAGAGCGCACCCUGAUAAGGGGUAGGUCGGAAGUUCAAGUCUUCCCAGACCCACCA